RNAcentral lists this long non-coding RNA (214 nucleotides) under Mytilus galloprovincialis (Mediterranean mussel). The record is from RNAcentral. Lineage: Eukaryota; Metazoa; Mollusca; Bivalvia; Mytilida; Mytilidae.
CAUUUUUAGAUGGUGACGUUCCCUUGUCACCAUCUUACGGUGUUUAUAUAUCUCAACUUGUACGAUUCGCUCGUGUAUGUAACAAUGUUUUAGAUUUUAACGAGAGAAAUGUAUGUAUUACUGAAAAAUUAUUACACCAGGGGUUUCGAUAUCACAAACUAGUCAAAACAUUUACUAAAUUUUAUCAUCGGUAUAAGGACAACAUUCGUAAAUA